CCUUUUUAAUUUAGUUGUUAGAAUGCGACUUUUGUGAAAUUGCGUGGGUUAUUUGGAUUCAGCGGAAGGAAAAAAGAAACACUCCAUACAAUUAGUAUUGACAAUGAACAAGAAACUCUAGUGUUUUCAAGCGGUUGACCGUCCUAAUUAAUUACGGUUUUUACACUCAAUUACUUUUCUUAAUUAUAUUUGCAAAAAAUAAUACUACUAUAUUAGUAGUACUUUUCUU
Molecule: long non-coding RNA, 229 nt
Filed under: Panax ginseng (ginseng)
Lineage: Eukaryota; Viridiplantae; Streptophyta; Magnoliopsida; Apiales; Araliaceae
Description: long non-coding RNA (PGIN_LNC000729)
Source: RNAcentral